RNAcentral lists this unclassified non-coding RNA (200 nucleotides) under soil metagenome. RNAcentral describes it as "partial contains internal transcribed spacer 2 and large subunit ribosomal RNA". The record is from RNAcentral.
CCGGUGGUGAUUUCUCCACCUGCGCCCUCCCUAAACUUGCUGCACGACCGCAAGCCCCUUCUAGCCAGGUCAAUGGAGUGGUGUUACAAUCUUCCAAAAAGCCUGCUGGUAACCGCUUCGUGGCGUUAAACCCAGAUGUCUCCCUCACGGGGGACUGAAGUUUUGACCUCAGAUCAGACAAGGAUACCCGCUGAACUUAA